ACCGGUCGGAGCUCGAGCGGGUCCAUCGGUUUCGGUUUCGAUUUCUCCGGGGUAUUCCGUUGGAUGAUGAGCGAUGGAGCCCGAUCGCGACACACGCGGUGUACAAUUACAGAACACUUUCAAAAAGGCGUAACAAAAUACGUAAACGCGGGGUCCGCCGUGACAGUGUCGCACGUGAACGUCCGAUGACACAAACGCACCGCUGAGAUGCCCCGCGGAGGGCAGUCGUCGCCUUUGAAAAAAACACUCCUCAAAUGUGCACUUGCAGUCCUAGUUUAAGUUGCAGCUCGCAAAUCGAGCACUUAGUUCGGAAUUCAAAGUUGUAGUUUUAGCGAUCCAGUGUUUGGGUUUGUAACCCUGUAGUGCUAGUGUGACUCCUUACUUCUUAGUGUUUUUAUUUCGUGAAAAUGGAUUACCCAAAACACAUAUUUUUCGCCCUAAGUCUUUGCCUAUGCGUGAGAAACGGAGAGUCGAACAUUUACAUACUGGAGGAUGCCAUUUACAGGAACAGCCAAGAACUAUCUGGGAACAGGUAUAAACGACAAACCCACCCUGCCUCUACAUUUGCCAAGUUCUCGGGAGCGGAUGACGUAUUCGGUCCUCUAGUCGGUCACGUGCGGCCGCCCCUCGACCAAGGCGAGCACCGCUCGGAUUUCAACGGGAAUCUCACGCCGAACCUGGCCGACAGCGUGGAUCUAACCCAACCCCAGGGCCCACCAAACGGUCUCGUCGACUACCUAACGCCGCCAAGUCCCAACGUCCAAACCCCAGCCUUCAACCCCACCUCUCACACGCUCAAUCCUGCUCCACUACCCCCACCCUUCGCACCCACAACCACCCCCGACUUCUCGAACUUAUUCGGCUCAGCCUCGCAUUUCUCGUCCUCUUUCCAAGCGCCGGCACCGAGCCAUGGUCCACAGUCGCGUGAUCUCAAUGGAAUACACAUUGAUCAACCCUUCCAACCCACCCUCCUGAACGAGGGAGGGAAAUGGGACCUAGGUUACGACGCGAGCGAGAUCCUCAAUCCGCCCGUGGAGAAUUCCGCUCCCUCGCGACACCUAGAAGACAGCUUGGGGCCACCUCCAAAUUUCAGGCGGCCUUCUAGUCUUCCCGCGAGCAACCCAACCUUCGCAGCUAGUCAAAACGCCCCCGUGAGUUUCAGUAACCAUAACCAGUUCGCCGACUACAACCAGGGUCACAACAACUUCCCCACGACAUCGCCUUUCGGGCCCCCUCCUCAGAGUCCCCACCACGCCCCACAUUCGGAUAUCGUGUGGGGGGUGCCAAAAUCCAACGGCAUCCCGCAACCUAGCAACCCGUUCACCAGCGGUUUGGAACCUCCCGGUUUCAGACAGCAGCCGGUGAAUUCGUUCAACAGCAACCUGGGGCCGAAGAAUCUGGGGUCUCUCGGGGCUGCAUCCCAAGCGACGUUUACGACAAAAGCCCCGCCCCCUUUCAGCCAGUUUGACUCUUUCGUCCCGCAGGGCUCCGUGCGCGACAACGGGUUCCUGAUACCCCGAGUGAUUUCGGGACGCAACCGCAGCAUACCAAGCGUCAGUCCGAGUCUCUGGUCCCUCCUUACAAGUUCUUCGGGUCUCCGGGGACGAGGAGCUUCCAGAAGAAGCGGCAGAGCGUCGAUGGAUUGGGUGGCAAGAGGUGGGCCUAUAAAAGGCGGAGUGACGACGAAGAUGCUGACUCGGAAGAGACGGAGGGCGGAGCUAAGAUCCAUGCCCCGGUUUUUUCGUACGUCAAGACCGACAAGAACGGGCAUUUUAAAUGGGGGGUGAGACAAGGUCUGCCAUCAGCUUUCACGGCCAAGUAAACAGUAAACUGAUGCAUGUGGAUACAGGCGCGCGUAAUAAAUGUAAAUUGGACCUUGAUGUAAAUGUUGGGCAGUUGGUGCUGAUUAUUGAAAUCGAUAGACAAAGAAUUAGACAAAGAAGACAUAGGGAGUUUGGAACGAGCCUAUUGGUUGAAAGGGGUGGUUCUAGUAGACUGAGGGAAAAAUUAAUGGACUAAGUAUGCACUGGAAAAAACACACUGGAUCUAGAGUCCAGACUCUUGAAAACAUUGACAAGAAAAAUGACUCUUGAUUCAAUCAGAUUUAAGCUUAAAUCAAAAGGAAAUCUGCUCAAAUUAAGAGGCUAGGUUCUUGAUUUAAGCUUUAAUCUGAUUGAAUCAAGAGUCCUUUUUCUUGUCAAUGUUUUCAAGAGUCUGGACUCUAGAUCCAAUGUGUUCCCCCCCCCCCCCAGGGUAAGGUCUCUUGUGGGUUGCUGUUAGUUAGUCUAUAACCUACCUCCUUUGUCCAUUGCAACCUCCUGUUUCAACCAGUUGGAUCCCUUCGCAUCCUUUUUGUCUUCGUUGUCUAUAGCUUUGUCGAUCCAUUUCAAUAGUUAUCGGCCCGCUGAAGGUGACCGGAUUCUGUGUUGCUUUGUCGGAGUGUGGGUACAACGUGUGCAUUUUCUUGCUGCUAUGCAUCCUUACAGAUUUAAGUUUUUUCUAAGACAAAAGUGUGGGGAAAGCAAUAGAGAAAAAUGGGGGCAGACUAUAUACAUCCUUUUGCUUACGAGAGACAGUAAUAUAUCAUACUUAGGCAAUGCGCACUUUGAUUUGGGGAGAAAUUUGGAAAUGUAUCAAUCACCAAGCGCCAUAAAUUCAUCCACCAACAAUGUAAAUUAAGUAUAUUUUUUGUAAGUAUAUAUGAAUGGUUUUUUUUUUGUAAAAAUGUUCGUUUCUAAUGUUUGUUACAUGCUGUAAAGAACAGCGCAGUGAUUAUUGGAAAGUAUCUCAAAAAGUUACAAGUCAAGAAAAAUGAAGUGGGAAAGAGUGCAGUCAUUUCCUUCAUCUCUUAUUAAAGUAAUCACAAAAUUUUGUUGAAUUUUUUUCGAGCUAUUCGCUCUGUAAGCCUCAAACGAUGAGAGUAUCUACUGAUUUGGUGCCUCUAUAUUUACAAAUAUUAAGUCAUUGGAUCUAACGUGAAAGUGAUUACUUUUAAUCGCACCAGGUACUUGUUCUGCAUGUGAUUUCGGAGAUUUCACCUUAACCUGUACACGUAAAGAUUUAUAAAAUACUUUUCUCUUUAACUGUCACUUUGUAAUAUGAACAGAAAAAAAAUCGAAUAACUUGUUGAAAAUAAUGUUUGGCUAUUUUCUUCUUCUUCUGUCCUUCAUUCCUGACGCAAAGUACGAAGAAACACUGAAGAUUAAAAGUUUAUAUCCUAGAUAAAAGAUACACAAUGUAAGAAUAAGUUACAGAGAGGAAAUGAGAGAGUAGAGAGGAAAUAAAAGAGAAAGAGAGGAACAAACUAAGUGCUCUCAUGAGUUAGAAGAGCACAAUGAAAAUUAUUUGAUAACAGCAGACUUAUGAGGAUUGUGUAUGGAUCCCAUAUGCAGCAAUAGACUUGAAAGGCCGACGAUAAACUUUUAAAAUCAUCCAGUUUUUCACUUUUGGAGCGAAAUCUUGGUCUUUUCAAAAAUUCAAGUCAACCAAGGAACCAAUGUCCACAGGCGGAAAUGCACUAUUUUUCUUAAUAAUUAUCUCAAUGCUAAAACGGUAGACGUUAUUCAAAUCAAAAUUAAGGAUAUUUUGUCAAAAGCAAAUGAACUUUCCUUGUUGUGAGUGGAGAAGACAGUUGCAUUUCAUUGGCAAUGCUGCAAUGUUUUAAUGCAAGCAUAUGCCUACUUUUGCGACGCAGAAUGCGAUGAGAAUAUCAUGUUAAUCUCACUGGCGUGGCGUGCUUUGCGGUGUAUCGAUUGGUCUGCCAUUUAAACAUAUGGAAAAGGAUCUAUUAAUAUGGGUGUUCGUAACAAACACCUUGGAACCUUGGGGAAUCGACAAUCGAUCAUUCACGCCUCGCCAGUGGUCAGUCUCGCUGCUGUAACAUUACCGUCUCUCCCGCGUAUCGUUAGUAUAACUAACUAGGAGUCAAACAAUUUUAAAAUUUUUUUUUUGACAAAAGUUCACUGCAAUUUUUCACCGAACUACAGUUAAAAGUGUAAGCUGCAGCCGAUGAAUUUCAGAAAAAAAUAAACUUUCUUAAUUUUUCAUUCAUCUUUGUUUCAAUAAAUGCUCGUCAGAAAACGGCGAGAAAAAUUGAGGAACGUAACAUCUAAUUAGGCAAUUUAUUGCGGCUGGCAGUAUAAAUUUGAAGAGCAUAAAGUUGUUUGCAAUUAUAUUUUGUGAGCGUUAAGCUUCACGUUUUCUAAGUUGAGAGGUGAUCCACACCUGUUCUGCUUAUCAAGUUUCCACCAUACCGAGUUUUGCCAGAUAGAUUCGUGGGCACGUUAUCUCACAGAUAAGAGCUUAUUACAGGCUCAAAAUUUACUUACUGCGGAAACGAGUCUCCGUGAGAGGCUCUCUCUUAGCUUAGUGGCUUUAACACCCAGACGUGUACUUCAAACGUGCUCCCUUUGUCUGCCGCCCUCGUCUGCUCGUUGUGCAAAAAUUUGAUCUCAGAUAUAUACUAGG
Molecule: long non-coding RNA, 4467 nt
Filed under: Bemisia tabaci
Lineage: Eukaryota; Metazoa; Arthropoda; Insecta; Hemiptera; Aleyrodidae
Description: lncRNA ENSASIAIIG009931
Source: RNAcentral